Non-coding RNA from Ovis aries (sheep), 73 nucleotides. Lineage: Eukaryota; Metazoa; Chordata; Mammalia; Artiodactyla; Bovidae. The record is from Rfam.
UCCCUUAUGGCUUGGCUGGUAAAGAAUCCACCUCCAAUGUGGGAGACCUGGGUUCAAUCCCUGGGUUUGGGAG